AGUAAGGAAUAUUGGGCAAUGGCCGCAAGGCUGACCCAGCCAUGCCGCGUGCAGGAAGACGGCCUUAUGGGUUGUAAACUGCUUUUGUCAGGGAGUAAAUCCUUAUACUUGUAUAAGGUUGAAAGUACCUGAAGAAUAAGCAUCGGCUAACUCCGUGCCAGCAGCCGCGGUAAUACGGAGGAUGCGAGCGUUAUCCGGAUUCAUUGGGUUUAAAGGGUGCGCAGGCGGGCUAAUAAGUCAGGGGUGAAAUUCCACGGCUCAACUGUGGGGCUGCCUUUGAUACUGUUAGUCUUGAGUUUAGUUGAGGUGGGCGGAAUGUAGCAUGUAGCGGUGAAAUGCAUAGAUAUGCUACAGAACACCGAUAGCGAAGGCAGCUCACCAAGUUAUAACUGACGCUCAUGCACGAAAGCGUGGGGAUCAAACAGGAUUAGAUACCCUGGUAGUCCACGCUGUAAACGAUGAUCACUCGUUGUUGGCGAUACAAGUCAGCGGCUAAGCGAAAGUGAUAAGUGAUCCACCUGGGGAGUACGAUCGCAAGGUUGAGAACUCAAAGGAAUUGACGGGGGCCCGCACAAGCGGUGGAGCAUGUGGUGUAAUUCGAUGAUACGCGAGGAACCUUACCUGGGCUUGAACGCUUGAUGUUAUUGGGAGAAAUCUCAAGUCCCUUCGGGGCGUUGAGCGAGGUGCUGCAUGGUUGUCGUCAGCUCGUGCCGUGAGGUGUCGGGUUAAGUCCCAUAACGAGCGCAACCCUUAUCAUUAGUUGCCAUCAGGUAAAGCUGGGGACUCUAGUGAAACUGCCUACGCAAGUAGAGAGGAAGGUGGGGAUGACGUCAAAUCAGCACGGCCCUUACGUCCAGGGCUACACACGUGCUACAAUGGCCGGUACAGAGGGCAGCCACCUGGUGACAGGGAGCGAAUCUCGAAAGCCGGUCUCAGUUCGGAUCGAAGUCUGCAACCCGACUUCGUGAAGCUGGAAUCGCUAGUAAUCGCGCAUCAGCCAUGGCGCGGUGAAUACGUUCCCGGGCCUUGUACACACCGCCCGUCAAGUCAUGGGAGCCGGGGGUACCUGAAGUCGGUAACCGAAAAGGAGCCGCCUAGGGUAAACUUGGUGACUGGGGCU
RNAcentral lists this ribosomal RNA (1120 nucleotides) under uncultured bacterium. RNAcentral's name for it is "bacterial SSU rRNA". It matches the Rfam family "Bacterial small subunit ribosomal RNA", at positions 353 to 1482 of the family's 1533-position model. The record is from RNAcentral.